UACAGAGGUCUCAAGCGUUGUUCGGAUUCAUUGGGCGUAAAGCGCGUGUAGGCGGCUUGGUAAGUCCGCUCUGAAAGCCCGGGGCUCAACCCCGGGAGGCGGGUGGAUACUGUCAAGCUCGAGUCCGGAAGAGGCGAGUGGAAUUCCUGGUGUAGCGGUGAAAUGCGCAGAUAUCAGGAAGAACACCCGUGGCGAAGGCGGUUCUCUGGGACGGUACUGACGCUGAGACGCGAAAGCGUGGGGAGCGAACAGG
Molecule: ribosomal RNA, 253 nt
Filed under: uncultured bacterium
Lineage: Bacteria
Description: partial 16S ribosomal RNA
Rfam family: Bacterial small subunit ribosomal RNA
Source: RNAcentral